This 465-nucleotide ribosomal RNA is filed under the name uncultured bacterium. Its description in RNAcentral is "partial 16S ribosomal RNA". It matches the Rfam family "Bacterial small subunit ribosomal RNA", at positions 28 to 507 of the family's 1533-position model. The record is from RNAcentral.
GACGAACGCUGGCGGCGUGCUUAACACAUGCAAGUCGUACGGUAAGGCCCUUUCGGGGGUACACGAGUGGCGAACGGGUGAGUAACACGUGAGUAACCUGCCCACAACUUUGGGAUAACGCUAGGAAACUGGUGCUAAUACUGGAUAUGUGCUCCUGCUGCAUGGUGGGGGUUGGAAAGCUCCGGCGGUUGUGGAUGGACUCGCGGCCUAUCAGCUUGUUGGUGGGGUAGUGGCCUACCAAGGCGGCGACGGGUAGCCGGCCUGAGAGGGUGACCGGCCACAUUGGGACUGAGAUACGGCCCAGACUCCUACGGGAGGCAGCAGUGGGGAAUAUUGAACAAUGGGCGCAAGCCUGAUGCAGCAACGCCGCGUGCGGGAUGACGGCCUUCGGGUUGUAAACCGCUUUCAGCAGGGACGAAGCUUUUUGUGACGGUACCUGCAGAAGAAGCACCGGCUAACUACGUG